GUGUCAGCAGCCGCGGUAAUACGGGGGGUGCAAGCGUUGUUCGGAAUUAUUGGGCGUAAAGAGCGUGUAGGCGGUUUGUUAAGUCUGAUGUGAAAGCCCUGGGCUCAACCCAGGAAGUGCAUUGGAAACUGGCAGACUUGAAUACGGGAGAGGGCAGUGGAAUUCCUAGUGUAGGAGUGAAAUCCGUAGAUAUUAGGAGGAACACCGGUGGCGAAGGCGGCUGCCUGGACCGAUAUUGACGCUGAGACGCGAAAGCGUGGGUAGCAAACAGGAUUAGAUACCCUGGUAGUCC
This 292-nucleotide ribosomal RNA is filed under the name uncultured bacterium. Its description in RNAcentral is "partial 16S ribosomal RNA". It matches the Rfam family "Bacterial small subunit ribosomal RNA", at positions 505 to 796 of the family's 1533-position model. The record is from RNAcentral.